This 445-nucleotide ribosomal RNA is filed under the name uncultured bacterium. Its description in RNAcentral is "partial 16S ribosomal RNA". It matches the Rfam family "Bacterial small subunit ribosomal RNA", at positions 354 to 796 of the family's 1533-position model. The record is from RNAcentral.
GUGAGGAAUAUUGGACAAUGGGCGCAAGCCUGAUCCAGCCAUGCCGCGUGCAGGAAGACGCAUCUAUGGUGUGUAAACUGCUUUUGUACGGGAAGAAACACUCCCUCGUGAGGGAGCUUGACGGUACCGUAAGAAUAAGGAUCGGCUAACUCCGUGCCAGCAGCCGCGGUAAUACGGAGGAUCCAAGCGUUAUCCGGAAUCAUUGGGUUUAAAGGGUCCGUAGGCGGUUUAAUAAGUCAGUGGUGAAAGCCCAUCGCUCAACGAUGGAACGGCCAUUGAUACUGUUAGACUUGAAUUACAAAGAAGUAACUAGAAUAUGUAGUGUAGCGGUGAAAUGCUUAGAUAUUACAUGGAAUACCAAUUGCGAAGGCAGGUUACUACUUGUGGAUUGACGCUGAUGGACGAAAGCGUGGGGAGCGAACAGGAUUAGAAACCCGGGUAGUCC